Molecule: ribosomal RNA, 476 nt
Filed under: Appendiculina entomophila
Lineage: Eukaryota; Fungi; Ascomycota; Laboulbeniomycetes; Laboulbeniales; Laboulbeniaceae
Description: SSU rRNA
Rfam family: Eukaryotic small subunit ribosomal RNA
Source: RNAcentral
AGGCGCGCAAAUUACCCAAUCCCGACACGGGGAGGUAGUGACAAGAAAUACUGAUACAGGGUCCUAUCGGAUCUUGUGAUUGGAAUGAGUACAAUUUAAACCCAUUAACGAGGAACAACUAGAGGGCAAGUCUGGUGCCAGCAGCCGCGGUAAUUCCAGCUCUAGUAGCAUACAUUAAAAUUGUUGCAGUUAAAACGCCCGUAGUUGAAGUUUGGAUUUAAUCGCCCGGUCCGCCUCACUGCGAGAACUGGUUGCGAUCGAGUCUUUCUUCUUGGUAAACUGCAUGCCCUUUGUUGGGUGUGUCGGUGCACCAGGACUUUUACUUUGAAAAAAUUAGAGUGUUCAAAGCAGGCUUUUGCUCGGAUACCUUAGCAUGGAAUAAUAAAAUAUGAUGAGUGGUUGUAUUUGUUGGUUUUCACGACUACCGUAAUGAUUGAUAGGGAUGGUCGGGGGCAUCGGUAUUCGAUCGUCAGAGG